GAUGAACGCUAGCGGCAGGCCUAAUACAUGCAAGUCGAACGGUAACAUGAGUAGCAAUACUUGAUGACGAGUGGCGCACGGGUGCGUAACGCGUAUGCAAUCUACCUUUAACUGGUGAAUAGCCCGAAGAAAUUCGGAUUAAUACACCAUAGUAUAUUUCUGUAGCAUUACUAGAAUAUUAAAGUCCCAACGGUUAAAGAUGAGCAUGCGUGACAUUAGCUAGUUGGUGAGGUAAUGGCUCACCAAGGCUACGAUGUCUAGGGGAUCUGAGAGGAUUAA
RNAcentral lists this ribosomal RNA (279 nucleotides) under uncultured bacterium. Its description in RNAcentral is "partial 16S ribosomal RNA". It matches the Rfam family "Bacterial small subunit ribosomal RNA", at positions 28 to 304 of the family's 1533-position model. The record is from RNAcentral.